CAACUCCUUUAGAAGGCAAAUAGUACUCUAAGGUUGACUGAGAUCAUUCAGAAAGAUUCUCUGCCAUGGAAUGCUCCAACAUUAAGUAUUUUAUAGUAUAUUGGAAUGACUUCAAGUGUUAGCAUCACCAUAACUACUAAGAAGCAAGUUUCCACAGCUCCAAAGUAUUUGCUAAAAUAGAUUCAUCCACGCUACUGCUUUACACACAUUUCCUUGUGAUCUUCAUUAUUUUUAGAUCUUUUUUCCUACUUUCAGCACACUGGACCAUGAAGCAGCAAAUGAAGAUGAAAUGCAGCCCAGGCCAGGGGGAUUACUUUACAGCAUCAGUCACCUCUCUGCUUUAACGACAGACUCACAGACUACCUAAAUAGAUCAUGCCUGUGAGAUUCACAAGUCCUUCUGUGAGUGAUCCUGCCACAGGUGGCAUGACAAGGAAUAAAACAGAC
Molecule: long non-coding RNA, 446 nt
Organism: Passer domesticus (house sparrow)
Lineage: Eukaryota; Metazoa; Chordata; Aves; Passeriformes; Passeridae
Exons: 3
Source: RefSeq, a predicted model, not a curated record